This 915-nucleotide long non-coding RNA is filed under the name Sus scrofa (pig). RNAcentral describes it as "lncRNA (ENSSSCG00055007447.1)". The record is from RNAcentral. Lineage: Eukaryota; Metazoa; Chordata; Mammalia; Artiodactyla; Suidae.
UCCAGUGGUUCGACACUCGUCCUUCGUCCCCUAAACCCAGACACACCUCGACACCACGAACGGGUCUGGGCUGUCAAAACACGCGACGGCGUGUUGAGUUCCAAUAACUUGCACAAUGAUUAAUGAGCGGCUUGAUAAUUUAAUACCGCGUAUGAUUAAAUUAUAAGGCGUGGGGGAGGGGAGCCUGGGCGGACGCCGCGGAGCGAGCGGUUCGCCGCUACGCGCAAAGCCGCGCUCACCCUCUGCGCAGCGCUCUGCAAAGCUCGGAGAGCUGUGGGUCCGCGCCUUCCAAGAAGGAACCAGGGCAUCAAGAAUAUGCUGGAGGAUUGGAGGCCACUGAGGUUGAGGGAAGGAGAACUGGGAAGGAAGGUCCCUGCGAACACGUCUCCCUCAUGUCAGCCAGGCCAGUUGUCCAGGAGACAUUCUGAAUAAUGCCUCAUCCUGGAAGUGGCUUGUGUUCUCAUGGACAGCGGAGAAAAAUGGAAACAUGAGCCAAAGGAAGAUUCCAGAACCUAGGAACAUGUUUGUGCGGGUCUGCAGACAGCAGACAGACAUCCCUCCAUUCUCUGAGAGCCACUCUUCUGUGUUAUGACUGGACCCGUAGUCACUAGGUUUCCAAAGGCAGAGUAAGUCUGUGGGAAAACUGACCCCUGGUGUCCACAGGGAGUGGAGUAGGUAUUAUUUGUUGUAUUUUAGUAGGACCUUUAGUGGAAUCACUAAAGGAAGAUCAGCUGACAACUAGGAUGAGUAUAAGAGCUGAAAAGUGACUUUCACGGCUGUCCCUGGUAACUAGAAUACGUCUAUAGCUUCCUGAAUAGACAAUUCCACCCUACUUUUUUUCUUUCUUCUUUGGCCGCAUCUAUGGCAUAUGGAAGUUCCAGGGCCAGGGCUUGAACCUGAGCCACAGCUUUGACU